This 683-nucleotide long non-coding RNA is filed under the name Triticum aestivum (bread wheat). RNAcentral's name for it is "long non-coding RNA (TAES_LNC023914)". Lineage: Eukaryota; Viridiplantae; Streptophyta; Magnoliopsida; Poales; Poaceae. The record is from RNAcentral.
UCGCAGGUUGCAGCUUCCUGCUUCCCGGCGUUCUCCGUCCCCGCGCAAGCACAACCUAGUAAAGCUUCAGGUAAUUCCUGUACCUAAUUAGUUAAUUACUAUGGUGGCAAAGUUGCAAUGAGCCAAUGAAUGGGAUCUUUUUUUUUGUUGCUGCGAAUAGGUUUCUGAACAAUGGCAAUUCCAUCGAUAUCAUGUCUUAUACGUAGGUUUCAUAAAUUGAUGUUGCCUAUUUUGCUUGACUUUUACAGAUUUGAAGGAACUUACAAUGCUGCUGAGAACUGUAAAGCUGCUUGGGCUGUGGUAGUUAGUGCUAAGCUGCGAUCUUGUGAAGUUGGCAACUGGUAUUGUGGCAAUGCUCGUGCCCCAUGGCCAUUGGAGGUUGUGACGAACUGACGCUGUGUUCUUCUAUUCUCUCUGUGAUUCCUGUUAUCUGAACACUCAUGGUGAGACAUAUUAUGUUAUGUUCUGUAGCAUAAUAUGGAAUGCUAUACUGCUAGUGCUACGGUCCAAAGAUGACUUGUCUUUGACAUCAUAAGGUUUGCUCCCAGCAUCUAAUUAGUUUGUGAAGUUUAUCCAUCCAUGUCUUCACUAACCUCUAAUUUUCUAGUGCUAAUUAAUUGUCAUGGCUAGUCUAAUGCAAGUCCUGUUGUGACAAAUGUAUGGAAUAGAAGUUCAGAACCUUC